Molecule: ribosomal RNA, 500 nt
Filed under: uncultured bacterium
Lineage: Bacteria
Description: partial 16S ribosomal RNA
Rfam family: Bacterial small subunit ribosomal RNA
Source: RNAcentral
AUUGAACGCUGGCGGCAUGCCUUACACAUGCAAGUCGAACGGCAGCACGGGAGCAAUCCUGGUGGCGAGUGGCGAACGGGUGAGUAAAGUAUCGGAACGUGCCCAGUCGUGGGGGAUAACGUGGCGAAAGUUACGCUAAUACCGCAUACGAUCUAUGGAUGAAAGCGGGGGAUCGCAAGACCUCGCGCGAUUGGAGCGGCCGAUAUCAGAUUAGGUAGUUGGUGGGGUAAAGGCUCACCAAGCCGACGAUCUGUAGCUGGUCUGAGAGGACGACCGGCCACACUGGGAAGGAGCAACGGCCCAGACUCCUACGGGAGGCAGCAGUGGGGAAUUUUGGACAAUGGGCGAAAGCCUGAUCCAGCCAUGCCGCGUGCAGGAUGAAGGCCUUCGGGUUGUAAACUGCUUUUGUACGGAACGAAAAGGUUUGGCCUAAUAAGCUGAGCUCAUGACGGUACCGUAAGAAUAAGCACCGGCUAACUACGUGCCAGCAGCCGCCGUAA